GAGAAUGCCGGUGUGAGUAGCGAAAGACGGGUGAGAAUCCCGUCCACCGAUUGACUAAGGUUUCCAGAGGAAGGCUCGUCCGCUCUGGGUUAGUCGGGUCCUAAGCUGAGGCCGACAGGCGUAGGCGAUGGAUAACAGGUUGAUAUUCCUGUACCACCUAUAAUCGUUUUAAUCGAUGGGGGGACGCAGUAGGAUAGGCGAAGCGUGCGAUUGGAUUGCACGUCUAAGCAGUAAGGCUGAGUAUUAGGCAAAUCCGGUACUCGUUAAGGCUGAGCUGUGAUGGGGAGAAGACAUUGUGUCUUCGAGUCGUUGAUUUCACACUGCCGAGAAAAGCCUCUAGAUAGAAAAUAGGUGCCCGUACCGCAAACCGACACAGGUAGUCAAGAUGAGAAUUCUAAGGUGAGCGAGCGAACUCUCGUUAAGGAACUCGGCAAAAUGACCCCGUAACUUCGGGAGAAGGGGUGCUCUUUAGGGUUAACGCCCAGAAGAGCCGCAGUGAAUAGGCCCAAGCGACUGUUUAUCAAAAACACAGGUCUCUGCUAAACCGUAAGGUGAUGUAUAGGGGCUGACGCCUGCCCGGUGCUGGAAGGUUAAGAGGAGUGGUUAGCUUCUGCGAAGCUACGAAUCGAAGCCCCAGUAAACGGCGGCCGUAACUAUAACGGUCCUAAGGUAGCGAAAUUCCUUGUCGGGUAAGUUCCGACCCGCACGAAAGGCGUAACGAUUUGGGCACUGUCUCAACGAGAGACUCGGUGAAAUCAUAGUACCUGUGAAGAUGCAGGUUACCCGCGACAGGACGGAAAGACCCCGUGGAGCUUUACUGUAGCCUGAUAUUGAAAUUCGGCACAGCUUGUACAGGAUAGGUAGGAGCCUUUGAAACGUGAGCGCUAGCUU
This 891-nucleotide ribosomal RNA is filed under the name Staphylococcus aureus. RNAcentral's name for it is "partial 23S ribosomal RNA". It matches the Rfam family "Bacterial large subunit ribosomal RNA", at positions 1290 to 2177 of the family's 2925-position model. Lineage: Bacteria; Bacillati; Bacillota; Bacilli; Caryophanales; Staphylococcaceae. The record is from RNAcentral.